AGUAGCGGUGAAAUGCGUAGAUAUCUGGAGGAAUACCAAAGGCGAAGGCAGUCCCCUGGUCCGAUACUGACACUGAGGUACGAAAGCGUGGGGAGCAAACAGGAUUAGAUACCCUGGUAGUCCACGCCCUAAACGAUGUCGAUUAGCCAUUGGAAGGACCCCUUUUCCUUKCAGUGACGUAGCUAACGCGUUAAAUCGACCGCCUGGGAAGUACGACCGCUAGGUUAAAACUCAAAGGAAUUGACGGGGACCUGAACAAGCGGUGAAUGAUGUGGAUUAAUUCGAUGCUACGCGAAGAACCUUACCUACCUUUGACAUGGCCAAAGUUCUACCGAGAGGCGGAAGUACUCGUAAGAGGAUUGGCGCACAGGUGCUGCAUGGUUGUCGUCAGUUCGUGUCGUGAGAUGUUGGGUUCAGUCCCGCAACGAACGCAACCCUUAUCUUUAAUUGCUCCUAUUUUAACAGGCACUUUAAAGAAACUGCCAAUGAUAAGUUGGAGGAAGGUGGGGAUCACGUCAAGUCCGCAUGGCCUCUAUAGGUAGGGCUUCACACGUCAUACAAUGGUUAGAACAAAGAGCUGCAAAUUCGUAAGAAGGAGCCAAUCUCACAAACCUAACCUCAGUUCGAAUUGCGGUCUGCAACUCGAGCGCAUGAAGCCGGAAUCGCUAGUAAUCGUGGAUCAGAAUGCCA
This 690-nucleotide ribosomal RNA is filed under the name uncultured Candidatus Tremblayella sp. RNAcentral describes it as "bacterial SSU rRNA". It matches the Rfam family "Bacterial small subunit ribosomal RNA", at positions 674 to 1359 of the family's 1533-position model. Lineage: Bacteria; Pseudomonadati; Pseudomonadota; Betaproteobacteria. The record is from RNAcentral.